UGCAUAGGAAGAACUACCUGUGGCACAGGCUGCUCCAUCCCUGGCAGUGUUGAAGGCUAGGUUGGAUGGGGCUUGGAGCAACCUGCUCUAGUGGAAGGUGUCCCUGCUUCCAUACUGCGACACACAGUUAAUAUCUGUGUCAUUCAAUAUUCACAGUUGAAAAUCCCUGUUUUCCAUCGCUCCCAUUCCAAGAAGGAAAGUUUUGUCAUUUUACAGGAGCUGCCUUUUCCCACCAACAUUAUUUGCCAUUUCCUUUCCAGUCAUUUCUUUCCUCCAUAAUUAAUGUCUAAUGAUUCUCCACAUAUGCAUUUAGCCAGAAAGCCAAAAGCGCCUCAGACAAAGCAAACAACUGCUCUGCAGCUUAUCCGAGUGGUUCAAGCGCUCUGCUGAUAACACAGGGCUAAAACAGGUAAUGAAGAAGAAAGCUCCCAAUACUUCUAUAAAGAGACACUUCAUUAAGGUAAUUAAAGCGACCAUUUAAAGGAUUAUUAACACACAAAAGAAAUUAUGCAACGGGCUUUGGGCAGACUCACCAGUAUUUUAUGGUGCCUUUAAGAAAUGAAGUGGUUUAAUAAGCUUUUGAAACAAAAAGACUCAUUUCUUGGCGAAGGAUGGAGCCUUUCCUACACCGGGGAAUGGCAUAUUCAGGCUCUUUGUGAUUAUUUUGUGAGGAGAGUUGUUGUUCUUUGGGGUUUUUAAUGGGCAACAAGUACUUCUACCGAGGUGGCAAAUAACUGAAUUAGCUGGUUAAAUUGUGCUGGUUUAAAGCGAUGUAUUUGCCCCAAAGCGCCCACUGAAGUCACGCAGAUCAGCGCUGGAACCACAGGGCACAGCAGUCACGGUCUCACCAUUCCACUAUGAAGGAAACAGCGAAGCCUUAAGCCUCUUAAAGAUGUAGAAAACCCCUAGAGAGACGCUAGUUGAUACUUCACAAACCACCACUUCUGAAGAAGGGCUUUCUCCCAACAUCCUUCAGUGAUUAAUCACAGUCUUUAUUUAAACCACAGGCAAUCUAACACAGAUAUCACCAGUGCUAAAAUCACCAGAGCAGAGCACGAUGCAGCUUUCAGCUCCACUAGAGGAAACCAAAAGGCAUCUGGGAAAAUGCAUUUUUGAUGAACGCAUGAAGAACAAAGCACCCACAACAGUGCUGAAGAGACGUGACACACUUCUCAAAUCCCUUAAUUAACUUAGGGAGCCUAAAGUGGUUUGCUAUGAGCUCAGGUACUGCUCUAACCCCAUCACGGUGGUUACAGUGACUCAACCCCCCUGGCACUGUGUGGAUUUGCUUGUGCUGAUAGAGAAGAUGCCAAGGGAUAAGCAAGAGACAUCCAGGCUGCAAGAGUACAACUAUUCCAAGCAUUUUUACGAGUAUCCCUCCUACAUCUGUUGUUUCUCAUGGAUAUAUUCUGCUUUAAAGUGACUUCAUUUGAAUUAUAACCUCA
This is a long non-coding RNA of Strigops habroptila (Kakapo), 1445 nucleotides long. RefSeq lists it as uncharacterized. The record is from RefSeq and is a predicted model, not a curated record. NCBI's taxonomy places the organism in Eukaryota, Metazoa, Chordata, Aves, Psittaciformes, Psittacidae. The transcript has 2 exons.